UAGAAGCCACUAAACCUCUUCACACUCACUCAUGUAACUAUUAAUUUAAAUUAAUUUGAAUAAACCCUACAAAAAAGAAAAAGCGUAACCUACUACUCUUUAACCUGACAAAAAAUGGAAGCUAAUUUUCCAUACAAAGUUCACUUUAUAUUAUACAAGUUUAAUUACAUACAAUCUUAGACUUUUUUGUAAGUCACACCAAGCAAUAAAAAGGGAGGUUGGGGUGUCUAUUAAAUUUAAGGACCCAUAAAAUCAACCACAUUUAUAUGCCUUACUGCAAUAAAAAGAAAAGCACUUUUCAAUUCAAUUAAUAAACUAUUAAAAGUUAAUUUCCUACUCAAUCAAACCCAUUAAAGCAGUAAGAAAAAAAAGGGUUUAGAUGGAAUCUACUAAUAACUCACUGAUUAAGUUUUAAUAUUAAAAAAGUUGUACGAAUCAACCUUUAUAUUGUACAAGGAAAGUGAUCAUCGCAGACUGUAAAUCAGGUUUUGUUGUUUUGUUUUAGUUUCCUCCUACAUUCUUUGGAAGAAACUAAUACAAAUCAGAGAAUUUGAGAAUCCAAAUUUUGGGUUGAAGAAGUUUUUGUUUCUGUAGAGAAAACAAUGUUUAAGUCAUGGAGGAACGACAAGAACAAGAUCAAGGCUGUGUUCAAACUUCAGUUUCAGGCAACUCAGGUUUUGUGUUUUGUCUCUUUAAAUCUCAAAACCCAAUUAUAUUUCUCUGUUAAAUUCAGACAAUGUGUUUACUAUAUAUUCUAGAUCUGUUAACUCUUAAGUUUCAAGAUUUGUUAUGAAUGUGAAUGUGAAAAUCUGGGGAUGAUCUCAGGUGCCGAAGCUGAAGAAGACUGCUUUGAUGAUCUCAUUGGUACCUGAUGAUGUUGGGAAGCCAACAUUUAAGCUUGAGAAAUCUGAGGUUAAAGAAGGGAUCUGUUCAUGGGAGAAUCCAAUUUAUGUGUCAGUGAAGCUAAUCAAAGAACCAAAAACUGGGAUUGUUCGUGAGAAGAUUUACCAUUUCGUUGUUGCAACAGUGAGUCAAAACAAACAAUCUCUGUGAAUAUGUCUUUUGAGUCAUUCUGGAAAAAGAAAGGCUCAAUUUUUUCCAAAAUCUGUUUCAGGGUUCUUCGAAAUCGGGUUUUCUAGGAGAAGCUUCCAUUGAUUUUGCAGAUUUUCUGACAGAAGCAGAUCCAUUAACUGUCUCCUUACCUCUCAAAUUUGCCAACUCUGGUGCUGUCUUAAAUGUAAUCUCUUUUCUUCUCCUUUUUGAAACCUGAGUUAGAAAUUGCAUCAAAUAUGUAAGAAAUGUAUGAGAUGUUAUAUAAACUGUUUGGUUGUUGGUGCAGGUGACAAUCCAUAAGAUACAAGGAGCGAGUGAUUUAAAGUAAGAGUAGUUUUUUUUUCUGUGGUUGUUGUCUCCUGUUUUCUUUGUAAGAGAUUUUUGACAUCAAAUUUUGUAGAUUUAUUGAGGAAAAUAAAGAUCAAACACUUAGCAAAGAAGACAGCUUCAAAAGUCUACAAAGCAAUGAUGACUUAGAAGGAUAUAACCAAGAUGUAAGGUUCCUUGUUCAGAGAGUUAAAUAAACUGUGUUGUCUAUUGAGAAAGAUCGUGAUAGUUAUCGAUCUUUUGGUAUGUAGGAAAGGAGCUUAGAUGUGAACACGGCUAAGAAUGCUGGCCUAGGAGGUUCCUUUGAUUCCAUUGGUGAAUCUGGAUGGAUAGAUGAUGGGAAUGCACGGUUACCUCAACGACAUAACUCAGUUCCUGCAACAAGAAACGGGCAUCGAAGAUCAAACACAGACUGGUCAGCUAGUUCGACAUCAGAUGAAAGUUACAUUGAGUCAAGAAAUAGUCCUGAGAACAGUUUCCAAAGAGGUUUCUCUAGUGUUACUGAAUCGAGUGACCCUAUUGAAAGGCUCAAGAUGGAAUUGGAAGCUUUGAGGAGGCAAUCGGAGUUAUCUGAGUUAGAAAAACAGUCUUUAAGGAAACAAGCCAUAAAGGAGAGUAAACGGAUACAGGAACUGUCUAAGGAAGUUAGUUGUCUCAAGGGUGAACGUGAUGGAGCUAUGGAAGAGUGUGAGAAGCUCAGGUUGCAGAAUAGUAGAGAUGAGGCUGAUGCUGAAAGCAGAUUGAGAUGCAUCAGCGAAGAUUCGAGUAAUAUGAUUGAGGAGAUUAGAGAUGAACUGAGUUGUGAGAAGGAUUUGACGAGUAACCUUAAGUUGCAGUUGCAGAGGACACAAGAGUCAAACUCUAAUUUGAUUCUUGCUGUGAGGGAUCUCAAUGAGAUGUUGGAGCAGAAGAACAAUGAGAUAUCUUCUCUGAAUAGCUUAUUAGAGGAGGCUAAGAAGCUUGAAGAGCAUAAAGGAAUGGAUUCUGGAAACAAUGAGAUAGAUACGCUAAAGCAACAGAUCGAAGAUUUAGAUUGGGAGUUAGACUCUUACAAGAAAAAGAACGAAGAACAAGAGAUACUAUUAGAUGAGCUUACUCAGGAAUAUGAGUCCUUGAAAGAGGAAAAUUACAAAAACGUUUCCUCAAAAUUAGAGCAGCAAGAAUGCUCAAAUGCAGAAGACGAAUACUUGGAUUCCAAGGAUAUUAUAGACGAAUUGAAAUCUCAGAUAGAGAUAUUGGAAGGCAAACUGAAGCAGCAAUCGUUGGAGUAUUCUGAGUGCUUGAUUACAGUUAAUGAACUUGAGAGUCAGGUGAAAGAGUUAAAGAAAGAACUGGAGGAUCAGGCACAGGCUUAUGAUGAAGAUAUCGACACAAUGAUGCGGGAAAAAACUGAACAAGAGCAAAGAGCCAUCAAAGCAGAGGAGAACCUGAGGAAAACAAGAUGGAAUAACGCUAUAACUGCAGAGCGGCUUCAAGAGAAAUGCAAGAGGCUUUCUCUAGAAAUGGAAUCGAAGCUGAGCGAGCAUGAGAAUCUGACGAAAAAAACAUUGGCUGAAGCCAACAACCUUCGUCUGCAAAACAAAACUCUUGAGGAAAUGCAAGAGAAAACACAUACCGAGAUUACACAAGAGAAAGAACAAAGGAAGCACGUGGAAGAGAAGAACAAAGCUUUGUCAAUGAAAGUCCAGAUGCUUGAAAGUGAGGUCCUGAAGCUCACAAAGCUGAGAGAUGAGUCGAGUGCAGCAGCUACUGAAACCGAGAAGAUAAUACAAGAGUGGAGGAAAGAAAGAGAUGAAUUUGAGAGAAAACUUUCUUUGGCUAAAGAAGUAGCCAAGACAGCGCAGAAAGAGUUAACUCUCACUAAGUCGUCAAAUGAUGAUAAAGAGACAAGGCUCAGGAAUUUGAAGACAGAAGUAGAAGGUCUAAGCCUACAGUACAGUGAAUUACAAAACAGCUUCGUUCAAGAAAAAAUGGAGAAUGAUGAACUGAGAAAACAAGUAUCAAACCUGAAAGUCGAUAUUCGGAGAAAAGAAGAAGAAAUGACUAAAAUCCUAGAUGCAAGGUAUGUGGACAAUAAACUAACUAAACUGGAAUGUUAUUUGCGUUAUGAAUAUUUGACUUAAUUAUGAUCUAACACGGAAAGUAAACAGGAUGGAAGCAAGGUCACAAGAAAACGGACACAAAGAGGAGAAUCUAUCAAAGCUAUCAGACGAAUUGGCGUAUUGUAAGAACAAAAACAGUUCAAUGGAGAGAGAGUUGAAAGAAAUGGAAGAGAGAUAUUCAGAGAUAAGCCUGAGAUUUGCAGAGGUAGAAGGAGAAAGACAACAACUUGUGAUGGCUGUCAGAAACCUCAAGAACGGUAAGAAGUUCUAGUAUUUGUAUGUCGCUGCGAAUACAGGUGUUGUCAGAUCAUAGUAGAAAUCACUAUAUAACUUGUACUGUUAAUAGAAUUCGUUUCUCUCAUAAAACAUUAUUUUAAACUUAUCAAGAAAUCAAUAUUUUCCACUGAAAUAAGUAACGCUUACAUAAGAUUUUGAGAUGCCCACUUCCAAAAUCUGAUCAUAUCCACUGAUUGGUUUUUGGUUAGUUUCCAAUUGCUACGCCGUGUUUGUUUCUUUACUUCCAUACAAGUUUUGUUUGGCCAGUUCCAUUCGCUGUGUAAGAUAGAGACUGGAAUGAAAAAAAAAAGAUGUUAAAGAAAUCAACGGUAUGAACAAAUCUCACUUCUAUAGGGAUCAUAUAUAAUGAAUACCUGUUUUGCUCGCUUAUCAAUUGGUGUGCAUGACUUAAGAGGCGAGUAAAAUCUCUCGUUUUUUGGUGAGGCUGAAGAAUUCUUUGACCGCUUCUGCCUCUUCUCUUCUUGAAGUUUGUUGCCUCCUUUAUACUUGAAAAACUCGAGUAUGGAUGGACUCUUUCUCUUGGUAUUAGCUUUCUUUAUGUUCCCUGGAGUCUCCAAACUAGGUGGAGAAGCAUAAGAAGGAAGAGAUUGUUGUUGUUUCCUUGCUCUGCUUCUUUCUCGAACUCUGUUAAGGAAAUCAACCGUCCAAGGAGAACUUUGUACUUGAUUUGAAGAACGGAUUGCGUUUGAUAGUGGAGAUCCACCAAAAUGUGAUAUUUCUUCUCUAAAUGGAAGCUCUGUUGUUGGAACUGCAGAUCUUCGUGUUAAGACCUCCUCCAAAAGGGUCCUUUGGCGUUUUGCUGGAUAGUUAUCAGCAUAGCCACGCAAAGAAGUGUUGUUAUCAUAUUUUGAAUCUUUCUCAGUGGCGUAUCUUUCAGAACUCGAGUCGAUGUCAGCCGCCUUUGGGAAGUUAGGCUGGAGAGAUCCAAAGAAAGAUAACUUCCUUGAAGAUUUUGAUUUUCUUGGAAGUUCCUCUUCAUUAACAUCAGAAACUAUUCGAGCAAACCUAUUAUAACCAGGAGAAGGCGGGAAGUCUUCCUCGAGAUACUUAUCAGCUCUGUCAAUUACUUCACCUUUGUAGUCUGCGAUGAAAUUCUCCGAGUUCCUAUUGUCAUGCAAGUUAAAAUCUCUCAUCACCGGAAAUUUACAUCCUCUGUUCUGGCUCAUGAAUUUGUCUUUAACUGGGAAACUCCAAUCUUCUAAUUCAGGAAUUCCAGGAAGACUGUCCUCCACUGAAAAAUCAGGCUGAUCUUUCUCCCAAAAUGUGUCCUUUGAUGAUGAACCAGGUCCUGACUUCUUGUCAAAUCUCUCAGGAUCUUUAGACGGCCAAGAGUCAUUGGGAUGACUGAUCCCAGAAGGUUUGAAAGGUGCAUCUGAGAAUUCAGUGACAGGGUCAAAAUGAAAGAUCUCAUGAUCUUUCGAUGACCAAGAAUCAUCAAGUUGGAAAUCCCCAGAAGACUUGAGCUGUGUAUCAGCAAAUUCUAUCGAGGGAGAAAAAUGCACCAAGUCGUCCAUAUCUAUCUCAUCUUUCUCAGCAAUGUACUGUUUCUUUUUUGAGCCAGAAUGGACACUGACAUGGUGUGUGUCUGAGUCAGGUCCAGAAGAUACCGAAGAAGAGCUGUCUGUCAUUACAGAUCUGGAGUCCUCCCUUGCUCCGUAUCUGCAUACUGAACUGAAUAGAUCAACACUCUCUUCAGGUACAUGAUACUUUUGCGUCCUUUCAACCUUGCUUUUAUGUGGGAGCUUCAUGAAUUCGAGAAGUGACCCAGAAGAUGACAGAAUUACUUGAGCUGUGAGUGGAUUCACGGAAGGAAACUUGGUGAGAAAUGAUUCUGCUAGAGAUUCUGACUCGGGCAUUUUGACAUGGAGUUUGGACAACUUAACAGAAGAUUUGAUACACUUCAAUAUAAUUUCAUCCGUGAGAUUAGCUGACGAUGAGCAAAACAUCUGUAAACUGAUUCCUAGGCUACCAGCUGCUGCAUACAGUUCAUCAGAGGAGUCCAUUACGGCAGCCAGGAAGGCGGGUUCCCCCUCAAAAACCUGUACGAAAAAUAACAAUCGUUCUUUAAGUUCUCUGGACUCAGUCUACAGUUUAGAAGAAAAUGUUGCAGAGACUUUAGUAUAUGAGUGAGUAUUAAACAUCUAGUAAGUUUGUAAUCAUCAAAUUAGCAAAAAUAAUAGAAGAUGAUUCUUAAAGUGAAAGGUCCACAUAUAUACUGCAACGUUCCCACAAAAGAACGGCAAAAAGCAAAGUUUGGUGGAAUUUACCAUAAUGCAAGUGCUGAAACUGAAACUCAAUGACGUCAAAACAUUAGUUGCGAUAUCUCCAAUCCAUGAAAGUGAACUUGAGGAAGUACCAAUAGUUGCAGCCGACUUCUUACUAACAGUUUCACUAUCAUACCAGAGUAGGCAAACUGCAGGACUUAACAUCAGGUCCACAGGUAGAUCUGAAUCGCGCUCCACAACUUGCACUCCUUCUUUUUCCAUUGCUAACACCUUCUGGUAUGUACUUCUUCUGGAUAUGAUCAUCUCCUUAUCGACAGUUUUUGUGUUCACAACAAUCACAGAUCUUUGGUCAGAGAGACCCUGUUCAAUUAUCCCACGUUUUCUUUCAGAUUCUUGAGGCAUGGAGAUAAAUUCAGAUUCAUUUGUGGUUUCGGAAGAUCCUGCAUAACACACUUUUUCAAGUGGAACAAAGUUCAACACUUCUUCCAACCACCCAGUUUUCGUCUCAACUUCGUCUCCCUACAAAAGAGAUAAUAGUGUACAUAGGUUCUCGUAUCUGCAUAUUCUGGAACAUAUUCAAACAAAGCGUUCAAAAUAUGCAGUUAUGGAAUAAACGUGAAUACCACUGAUGUGACAACACAAUUUUAGGUUAAAGUACAUACUAAUGUUAAACUUGCAUAAUUUUCAGUGUUGCAAAACCAAUCAAGAUCAUAUGCUCAUGAAAGUACUAUUUGUGAUACAGAUUGAUCUACUGCUCUGAAUUUGAACCCUUCACACAGACUCUUCCAUCGUAAUAUACAAUCUACCAAUAUAACUUGUAAGAAAAGGUUGAAUGUUUCUCACCUUUAUCAUUUUGAGACUAUAAGGUACUGUAACACCUGCACAGAGUUGCCCGCAUGCACUGGGCAUAUCCAGCUCCACUUUUAUGAAAUGAAAGGAAGGAAAGGAAUCCAACUUUGAAGGAAAAGAAUAUCUGGGCGAGGCAUUUGGACCUCCAUAUUCUACAAUGACGCUGAAAUUCUCCACAGGAAAAGAUGGAGAAAUUUGCCUUAGAUGAAAAAGAAAGGACUAGUUAGCUUAACUACUCCCAAAAGACAAUUUCACUAAAAGAUAUUGAACAAAGAAUCGAUAAAGCUAUGUUUUAGCAUGCAAAGAACAAUAAUGCAGCAAUUUCACGAGCAGAGAAGUAACAACAUUUUGUGGUAUCUCUUACAAUCACCAUGCUAAAAGACUGAAAAUGCUUUUCAGGCCGCAAUAUAUCAAUUCUUUGGUUCCCUUUCUAGUUCCCAAAAAAUUCAACUGUGAAAAGCUAUGAUCAUUGAUAAUGAGGAUAUGGCUAUAGGAAGAAAUAAUACUCACUCGUAAGAGAUAAUUAGACAGUCUGAAAUCGGCAGGAAACCAAGUUCUAUGGCUUCAUGAACAUUUGGUCGAUUUCCACUUGGGGAGGGACUGUUGAGGUCAUUGUAAGAUAACCCCAUGGACAUCAGUAGCCUCUUCAGCGAGGACCAAAACACUUUCUCAGCCAAAAGUAAUGCUUUGGAGUUCCCCCGGGCAAAUUCUGACUGUAAAAUCCCCUGGAUAACAGCUAGUGAUGGAUGUGAUCUUGUGAUGUCUGUCUCAUCUGAUUUGUGUUCUGUUUCAACUGCUGAGUAGAGGGUGUGCAAUCCUAUCUUCAUGGGAUUUGAGCUUCGACAUACCUUGUUAAGAUAGAUAUAUGCCACAUGGAUACCGAAGAAACACAUAUACCAUGUCAUCUGUUUAAUUGCUAAUAGUAAUGCAAACGUGAAAGUCUUAUCAUCCGCCAACUGUGUUUUGUGGACAUUUGCCUUUCUUAUGCAGUCAAUAAGCUUUCCUUUAGAUAUGCUGAGUAACUUAAGUUUAUCUUCUGAUAAAUUCUCUGAUUCAUCCUUCACAAGAGUUAAAUAGCUCUUCACAAAUUCCCCAACAAGAGCCUGAAUAUUUUCUGAAGGGCGCACACUGUGAAGUAUCAUUUCCUCUGUCUUCGGGUUUGGGUGCAUACCACCAGAUCUACAUGAAGCCUUCGAGUCAAUAGACAUACAUUUAUGGUUGGUAGUCUUAGCAGCUUCGACUCUAGACUCGAGAUUAUCUUCAAUCACAGCCUUCUUCGGAUCCAUGAAAAAGGUUAAGUCAUCAAAAGCAGACAUUGAUUUGAACAACAGCGUAGCCUUCUUAGCAUUAUCAUCCACUGCACAAUCCCUUGCUCCUGUUUUUUGGAAAGGGUUUUCCAAUAACCCAUGCGAAGUAUUAACAGGAGCAUGCUCAUCAAGGUUAGAUAUACCAUAGAAAGGUUCAGUGCAUUUCUCUACAAGUGGCUCGCAGAAAGCAUCUUCAGAGAAAAUGAAAUCAUAAACCCAUUUGUCUCCUUCUGAAGCUUCCCAGUUAUAAUCAAUGUUGAAUGUAACUAUUUCUUCAAACGGAUAAUCACAAUGGUUGUGGUUUCUUUCCUCAAGAAGGUUCCACGGCAAGUAUAUGUCAUUUGAGGCAGACAAGGAUUGAGGCUUGAUCUUUGACAAAACAUCCUCAUAAAUGAGCUCCAGAGAUCUUGUCAUCUCAUAAUCAUGUAAAAUAGGAGUAGGCAAAGACUUGAAGGCAUCAUCUGUGAAGGCAAGUUCGGAACUGACAACUAAUUCAUCGAAAUCCUUGAAGUUCAUCUCUUUACUGAACAUACCGUAACAGAUUUCUGGUUCAAUGGCUUUUUGAAGACAAAGGAAGAUAUCAAAAACAUCAGAGAUAUCCACAUCCAGGAUCUGGAAUUCCUCAUAAGUUACUGGUACAGCCACCUUUCCCUGAAAUUCCUCAGCAUUUGAUAUUUCCAGGAUAGUCACUAUAUCCAUUUCAGAAAAUUCAUCCUCUGGUACCACAUCAGAUUGGCCACUCUUGUUCAAAUAGCAAUCCGUAGAGAGUACAUCCAAUAGAUCAUAAUCCUUUGAGCCUAUAAGCUCCUUAGAAUUGAUAAUGAGAGAACUCCCUGCAUUAGUGUCUUGGGGUUCAAUCGUCUCAAGAACAGUAAAUACUUUAUCAAGCACAGAUAAGCUUGAUAGUUCGCUCAAGUUUACUUCAUCCACUUCUAGAAGGGGAAAUCUGGCAUCUUUGAACCAUGGUUGAAUCUUGCGGAAGCAUUCAUUUUCUGCUACAGAAGUGUUGUUCUCUGUAAAGUAAUCAGAAGGAAUGUAAUCAACAGAAUAAAUCUGCUCUUGAAUGUCCUUUGAGUUCUGCAGGAUAAUAUCUGACCCCUCAUAUUUAACCUGCAAUAAGAAGACUAGCUAAAAUCAGAUGAUGCCAAGAACAGGAACCAGCUCUACCACUCUACAGCAAAAGCAAAAACUACUGUUGUGUGUGCCAACUAAAAUCAACUCAGGGAUUUACCGGGUCAUUUUUGAUCUCUAGAACUUCAGAGAAACAUUGGAGAUGAUCCUCACUCGUGCAUAAGAGCUUGUUCUCCUGUAUAUCAAAAGAUGCUUUAUCUCGCAAUGAAAAAGAAAAAGCUGAACUAGUUCAAUUAGUACAAUGCUUACACAGCUUGAGCAAUACCAUCUCAAAAUCCAACUCUGGAGUCUCCAACUCAAUAAUUUUAGGUGUAGCUUUAUCCGCAAUGGCAUCUCCGUCAUCCUUCUGCAAAUAGAUCAUAACUUCGGUUUUCAAACUCCGGUAAGAUUCGCUUAAGCUACCAAAAUUUCCAACCCAAGUAUGAAUAUAAGAUCUAAGCAACAAUCAGAAAUGGAAACUGAGAAAACACACCACAAAUUUCGAAAAAUCUACAACCAAUCUCACUAUAAGAAACAAAGGACCGUUGACAGAAACAGUCAGCGAGACUCAGGAAAUUCGAAAUUUCACCUCCAGGAACUGAUAAUAUCUAGAUCGAAGGAACUUUACCUCGUCUGAGUAAUAAACUCCGAGCGAAGAGUCGUCGAUUUCAAAAACUCGAUAGUCCACACUGACGCGGUCGGGAACCACGUCGGAAAGGAACUUCGACAAAGCAGCUUCAAUAGGCAAAUUUCCGAUAGGGAUACUAACAUUUUCGAUCGAGCCAAAUCGGAGACGGUCUUCUUCUCCGUUGUAGACGAUGGGUGCCGGGAAAUUAUCAGGAGCCGGAAGAUUGAGGAAGCCUAGGGUUUCAAAUACGUGAGAAGGUGGAGUAGAGAAGUAAUCGAUGUUGAGAAAUCGAGUUCGCAUCGUAAUUUUCUAGAUCCGUCUUGGGAGCUCAGACUGUAUCAGUGAUGAUGAUGAUGAUGAAGAAGAGAACGAAUUUUGAAAUUGGCGGUUUUGAAUUUUUAAGAAAUUAAAAAAUAUCCCCCGUCGAUUUCAAGAGGGAGAUGGAGAUACCAAAGCAACUCUCGCCACUUGUCGUCUUUUAAUUUUAAUUGAGUACGUUAUGCCGUUUUAAAUGUUCAAAACAGCACACAGUUGAUAGCUGAAUUGAUUUUUUCUUUUGCCGUUUUGUUAUAUUUAAACAACACACAGUGCAUUUGCCAAAUAACUACAUGAUGGGCCAAUAAACGUGGACCGACUAAAACUAAAUAAUAGAAGAUACAUCGAUAGGCUUCUCUAAAGAUCGGAUAAAAGAUAAUGUCGCAUAGCCACGUAGAGAGCAACUGGCUGAGACGUGGCAGGACGAAACGGACGCAUCGUACGUGUCAGAAUCCUACAGAAGUAAAGAGACAGAAGCCAGAGAGAGGUGGUUCGGCCAUAUGUCAUCGUUCUCUCUAUAAACUUUAUGGAACUUUGUUCUGAUUUUCUCAGAGACACGAAAAGAAAGAAAACAACACUAGAACAAAGAGGGUUUGAUUGAUUCACUUGAAAAAGAGAAAACACAGCUUUGGAAAAUGGAGUCACAGUUGACACGUCCUUAUGGUCAUGAGCAAGCAGAAGAACCAAUCAGAAUUCACCAUCCAGGUAUAUAUAUAUCUAUGACAGAAGAUUCUAAUUUGAGAACUUUUCUCUUAAUUUGCCUUAUUUAUUGUGAUUCGGAUACAGAAGAAGAAGAGCAUCAUGAGAAGGGAGCAUCCAAAGUGUUGAAGAAAGUAAAAGAAAAGGCUAAGAAAAUCAAGAACAGUCUCACUAAACAUGGAAAUGGUCAUGAUCACGAUGUGGAAGAUGAUGAUGAUGAGUAUGACGAGCAAGACCCAGAAGUUCACGGCGCACCAGGUUAAUUUCUCUGUAUUAAAGUCCUCGUCAAUCAGCAGUUAUAUUUUUUUGUGUAUUAACGGUUUUUCUGUUUUUUUAUGUGUAUGCACAGUGUAUGAAUCCUCUGCCGUGAGAGGUGGUGUAACGGGUAAACCUAAGUCUCUUAGUCAUGCCGGAGAAACUAAUGUUCCGGCAUCGGAGGAGAUUGUUCCUCCAGGGACAAAAGUUUUUCCUGUCGUGUCUUCUGACCACACCAAACCCAUUGAGCCUGUAUCAUUACAAGAUACCUCUUACGGACAUGAGGCACUGGCUGAUCCUGUAAGAACGACGGAAACAUCGGACUGGGAAGCGAAAAGAGAGGCACCGACUCAUUAUCCUCUCGGAGUGUCAGAAUUUUCAGACAGAGGAGAGAGCAGAGAGGCUCAUCAAGAGCCAUUGAACACUCCUGUGUCUCUGCUUUCAGCAACAGAGGACGUGACUAGGACGUUUGCUCCUGGUGGUGAAGAUGACUAUCUCGGUGGUCAACGGAAAGUCAACGUCGAGACGCCAAAACGUUUGGAGGAAGAUCCGGCUGCUCCAGGAGGAGGAUCGGAUUAUCUCAGUGGUGUAUCUAAUUAUCAGUCCAAAGUUACUGAUCCCACGCAUAAAGGUAAUGACUUUGGCCGAGACUUUUUUUAGGGUUUAUGAAUCUGUAAUAACUCUUGUCUGUUCUGUUUAAGGUGGAGAAGCUGGAGUACCAGAGAUUGCUGAGUCUCUUGGUAGAAUGAAAGUGACUGAUGAGUCUCCUGAUCAGAAAUCAAGACAAGGACGCGAAGAAGACUUUCCGACGAGAAGCCAUGAGUUUGAUCUGAAGAAGGAAUCUGAUAUCAACAAGAAUUCUCCGGCAAGAUUUGGAGGGGAAUCAAAAGCUGGGAUGGAGGAAGAUUUUCCGACAAGAGGUGAUGUGAAAGUAGAGAGUGGAUUGGGAAGAGACUUACCGACGGGAACUCAUGAUCAGUUCUCACCAGAACUAUCUCGUCCCAAAGAGAGAGAUGAUUCUGAGGAAACCAAAGAUGAGUCGACACAUGAGACAAAACCAAGCACCUACACAGAGCAGUUAGCUUCAGCUACAUCAGCCAUAACUAACAAAGCUAUAGCCGCAAAGAACGUCGUUGCCUCAAAGCUAGGUUACACCGGAGAGAAUGGCGGCGGGCAAAGCGAGAGCCCUGUAAAAGAUGAAACUCCGAGAUCUGUUACUGCUUACGGGCAGAAAGUGGCGGGAACUGUUGCUGAGAAGUUGACUCCGGUUUACGAAAAAGUCAAAGAAACAGGAUCAACGGUGAUGACAAAGCUACCUCUCUCCGGAGGUGGAAGUGGAGUGAAGGAGACGCAACAAGGGGAAGAGAAAGGUGUGACGGCUAAAAAUUAUAUAUCAGAGAAGCUGAAACCUGGAGAAGAGGACAAAGCUUUAUCGGAAAUGAUAGCUGAGAAACUUCAUUUUGGAGGAGGAGGAGAGAAGAAGACAACGGCUACAAAGGAGGUGGAAGUGACGGUUGAGAAGAUACCUUCCGACCAGAUAGCGGAGGGGAAAGGACAUGGUGAGGCGGUUGCAGAGGAAGGAAAAGGUGGAGAAGGAAUGGUGGGGAAAGUUAAAGGAGCGGUCACUUCUUGGCUCGGUGGUAAACCGAAGUCGCCACGGUCCGUUGAAGAGUCUCCACAAUCACUUGGCACCACCGUUGGUAAAACUCCCUCGUCCUUGUGUUACACGUAAUGUUAAGAUUUUGAUGUGUGUAUUAUUUUUGUAAUUUUACUCAAAAUGUUUUGGUUGCUAUGGUAGGGACUAUGGGGUUUUCGGAUUCCGGUGGAAGUGAGUUGGGAGGCAGUGGCGGAGGUAAGGGAGUUCAAGAUUCUGGGAACUGAAGAUUUGGGGUUUUGCUUUUGAAUGUUUGUGUUUUUGUAUGAUGCCUCUGUUUGUGAACUUUGAUGUAUUUUAUCUUUGUGUGAAAAAGAGAUUGGGUUAAUAAAAUAUUUGCUUUUUUGGAUAAGAAACUCUUUUAGCGGCCCAUUAAUAAAGGUUACAAAUGCAAAAUCAUGUUAGCGUCAGAUAUUUAAUUAUUCGAAGAUGAUUGUGAUAGAUUUAAAAUUAUCCUAGUCAAAAAGAAAGAGUAGGUUGAGCAGAAACAGUGACAUCUGUUGUUUGUACCAUACAAAUUAGUUUAGAUUAUUGGUUAACAUGUUAAAUGGCUAUGCAUGUGACAUUUAGACCUUAUCGGAAUUAAUUUGUAGAAUUAUUAAUUAAGAUGUUGAUUAGUUCAAACAAAAAUUUUAUAUUAAAAAAUGUAAACGAAUAUUUUGUAUGUUCAGUGAAAGUAAAACAAAUUAAAUUAACAAGAAACUUAUAGAAGAAAAUUUUUACUAUUUAAGAGAAAGAAAAAAAUCUAUCAUUUAAUCUGAGUCCUAAAAACUGUUAUACUUAACAGUUAACGCAUGAUUUGAUGGAGGAGCCAUAGAUGCAAUUCAAUCAAACUGAAAUUUCUGCAAGAAUCUCAAACACGGAGAUCUCAAAGUUUGAAAGAAAAUUUAUUUCUUCGACUCAAAACAAACUUACGAAAUUUAGGUAGAACUUAUAUACAUUAUAUUGUAAUUUUUUGUAACAAAAUGUUUUUAUUAUUAUUAUAGAAUUUUACUGGUUAAAUUAAAAAUGAAUAGAAAAGGUGAAUUAAGAGGAGAGAGGAGGUAAACAUUUUCUUCUAUUUUUUCAUAUUUUCAGGAUAAAUUAUUGUAAAAGUUUACAAGAUUUCCAUUUGACUAGUGUAAAUGAGGAAUAUUCUCUAGUAAGAUCAUUAUUUCAUCUACUUCUUUUAUCUUCUACCAGUAGAGGAAUAAACAAUAUUUAGCUCCUUUGUAAAUACAAAUUAAUUUUCGUUCUUGACAUCAUUCAAUUUUAAUUUUACGUAUAAAAUAAAAGAUCAUACCUAUUAGAACGAUUAAGGAGAAAUACAAUUCGAAUGAGAAGGAUGUGCCGUUUGUUAUAAUAAACAGCCACACGACGUAAACGUAAAAUGACCACAUGAUGGGCCAAUAGACAUGGACCGACUACUAAUAAUAGUAAGUUACAUUUUAGGAUGGAAUAAAUAUCAUACCGACAUCAGUUUGAAAGAAAAGGGAAAAAAAGAAAAAAUAAAUAAAAGAUAUACUACCGACAUGAGUUCCAAAAAGCAAAAAAAAAGAUCAAGCCGACACAGACACGCGUAGAGAGCAAAAUGACUUUGACGUCACACCACGAAAACAGACGCUUCAUACGUGUCCCUUUAUCUCUCUCAGUCUCUCUAUAAACUUAGUGAGACCCUCCUCUGUUUUACUCACAAAUAUGCAAACUAGAAAACAAUCAUCAGGAAUAAAGGGUUUGAUUACUUCUAUUGGAAAGAAAAAAAUCUUUGGAAAAUGGAUCAAACAGAGGAACCACCACUCAACACACACCAGCAGCACCCAGGUAGAUUCUAAUUUCAGAAACUUAUAUUUUUUUUAAGUGACAAUCCUCUGAAUUUACUUAAACUUAUUGUGAUUUAUGGAUACAGAAGAAGUUGAACAUCAUGAGAAUGGUGCGACUAAGAUGUUUAGGAAAGUAAAGGCUAGAGCUAAGAAGUUCAAGAACAGUCUCACUAAACAUGGACAAAGCAAUGAGCAUGAGCAAGAUCAUGAUUUGGUUGAAGAAGAUGAUGAUGAUGACGAGCUAGAACCUGAAGUGAUCGAUGCACCAGGUUACUUUCUUUUGUAGUUUCAUUCAACUUAUGAUCUAAAAACUAUUGGUUAUUCAAUUUUGCGUGACAUUAACGGUUUGGUAUCUGUAUAUGCAGGCGUAACAGGUAAACCUAGAGAAACUAAUGUUCCAGCAUCGGAGGAAAUUAUUCCACCAGGGACAAAGGUGUUUCCUGUCGUGUCUUCCGAUUACACCAAACCCACUGAAUCUGUACCAGUACAAGAGGCCUCUUACGGACACGAUGCACCGGCUCAUUCUGUAAGGACGACGUUUACAUCGGACAAGGAAGAGAAAAGAGAUGUACCGAUUCAUCAUCCUCUGUCCGAAUUGUCAGACAGAGAAGAGAGUAGAGAGACUCAUCAUGAGUCAUUGAACACUCCGGUCUCUCUGCUUUCUGGAACAGAGGAUGUAACGAGUACGUUUGCUCCAAGUGGUGAUGAUGAAUAUCUUGAUGGUCAACGGAAGGUCAACGUCGAGACCCCGAUAACGUUGGAGGAAGAGUCGGCUGUUUCAGACUAUCUUAGUGGUGUAUCUAAUUAUCAGUCCAAAGUUACUGAUCCCACCAAAGAAGGUAAGAACUUUGACCUUUUAAGAUUGUGUUUUUCUUUAGUGAUUAUGAAUAUGUAAUAACUCUGUUACGUUGUGUUUGGUUUAGAAACUGGAGGAGUACCGGAGAUUGCUGAGUCUUUUGGUAAUAUGGAAGUGACUGAUGAGUCUCCUGAUCAGAAGCCAGGACAAUUUGAAAGAGACUUGUCGACGAGAAGCAAAGAAUUCAAAGAGUUUGAUCAGGACUUUGACUCUGUUCUCGGUAAGGAUUCGCCGGCGAAAUUUCCAGGUGAAUCAGGAGUUGUUUUCCCGGUGGGCUUUGGUGACGAGUCAGGAGCUGAGCUGGAAAAAGAUUUUCCGACGAGAAGUCAUGAUUUUGAUAUGAAGACUGAAACUGGAAUGGACACGAAUUCUCCAUCAAGAAGCCAUGAAUUUGAUCUGAAGACUGAAUCUGGAAACGACAAGAAUUCUCCGAUGGGCUUUGGUAGUGAAUCAGGAGCUGAGCUGGAAAAAGAAUUUGAUCAGAAGAACGAUUCUGGAAGAAACGAGUAUUCGCCGGAAUCUGACGGCGGUUUAGGAGCUCCGUUGGGAGGAAAUUUUCCGGUGAGAAGUCAUGAGUUGGAUCUGAAGAACGAAUCUGAUAUCGACAAGGAUGUGCCGACGGGAUUUGACGGAGAACCAGAUUUUCUGGCGAAGGGAAGACCUGGAUACGGUGAGGCAUCAGAAGAGGAUAAAUUUCCGGCGAGAAGUGAUGAUGUGGAAGUAGAGACUGAGCUGGGAAGAGACCCAAAGACGGAGACUCUUGAUCAAUUCUCACCGGAACUUUCUCAUCCUAAAGAAAGAGAUGAGUUUAAGGAGUCCAGAGAUGAUUUUGAGGAGACGAGAGAUGAGAAAACAGAGGAGCCAAAACAGAGCACUUACACAGAGAAGUUUGCUUCAAUGCUAGGUUACUCCGGAGAAAUUCCGGUGGGAGAUCAAACUCAAGUGGCGGGAACUGUUGAU
This 16436-nucleotide long non-coding RNA is filed under the name Arabidopsis thaliana (thale cress). RNAcentral describes it as "long non-coding RNA (ATHA_LNC000485)". Lineage: Eukaryota; Viridiplantae; Streptophyta; Magnoliopsida; Brassicales; Brassicaceae. The record is from RNAcentral.